AUUGAACGCUGGCGGCAGGCCUAACACAUGCAAGUCGAACGAGUGGCGGACGGGUGAGUAAUGUCUGGGAAACUGCCCGAUGGAGGGGGAUAACUACUGGAAACGGUAGCUAAUACCGCAUACCAUCGGAUGUGCCCAGAUGGGAUUAGCUUGUAGGUGAGGUAACGGCUCACCUAGGCGACGAUCCCUAGCUGGACGGAGAGGAUGACCAGGCAAACUGAAACUGUGACACGGUCCAGACUCCUAUGGGAGGCAGCAGGGGGGAAUAUUGAACAAUGGGCGCAAGACUAAGACAGCCAGGCCGCGUGUAUGAAGAAGGCCUUCGGGUUGUAAAGGACUUGCAGCGGGGAGGCGUUACCCGAAGAAGAAGCACCGGCUAACUCCGUGCCAGCAGCCGCGGUAAUAC
RNAcentral lists this ribosomal RNA (406 nucleotides) under uncultured bacterium. Its description in RNAcentral is "partial 16S ribosomal RNA". It matches the Rfam family "Bacterial small subunit ribosomal RNA", at positions 29 to 526 of the family's 1533-position model. The record is from RNAcentral.